Molecule: ribosomal RNA, 329 nt
Filed under: uncultured eukaryote
Lineage: Eukaryota
Description: partial 18S ribosomal RNA
Rfam family: Eukaryotic small subunit ribosomal RNA
Source: RNAcentral
CCCUUAGAUGUUAUGGGCCGCACGCGCGCUACACUGACGAUGGCAACGAGUUUUUCCUUCGCCGAAAGGUGUGGGUAAUCUUUUGAAACAUCGUCGUGCUGGGGAUAGAUCAUUGCAAUUUUUGAUCUUGAACGAGGAAUUCCUAGUAAGCGCGAGUCAUCAGCUCGCGUUGAUUACGUCCCUGCCCUUUGUACACACCGCCCGUCGCUACUACCGAUUGAAUGGUUUAGUGAGGACUCCUGAUUGGCGCCGCCGCCCCGGCAACGGAGCAGCGGACUGCCGAAAAGUUGUUCAAACUUGAUCAUUUAGAGGAAGUAAAAGUCGUAACA